This 420-nucleotide ribosomal RNA is filed under the name uncultured bacterium. RNAcentral's name for it is "partial 16S ribosomal RNA". It matches the Rfam family "Bacterial small subunit ribosomal RNA", at positions 360 to 773 of the family's 1533-position model. The record is from RNAcentral.
AAUUUUGCGCAAUGGGGGGAACCCUGACGCAGCGACGCCGCGUGAGCGAAGAAGGCCUUCGGGUCGUAAAGCUCUGUCAUCGGGGAAGAAGACUAUUUACUAAAAAGGUAAAGAGGUGACGGUACCCGAGGAGGAAGCCACGGCUAACUACGUGCCAGCAGCCGCGGUAAUACGUAGGUGGCGAGCGUUGUCCGGAAUAACUGGGCGUAAAGGGCGUGUAGGCGGUUAAACAAGUCAGAAGUGAAAAACUCGGGCUCAACCUGAGUCUUGCUUCUGAAACUGUAUAACUUGAGGGCAGGAGAGGUAAGUGGAAUUCCUAGUGUAGCGGUGAAAUGCGUAGAUAUUAGGAGGAACACCAGUGGCGAAGGCGACUUACUGGCCUGACCCUGACGCUGAGGCGCGAAAGCGUGGGUAGCAAAC